This 348-nucleotide unclassified non-coding RNA is filed under the name Hevea brasiliensis (rubber tree). Lineage: Eukaryota; Viridiplantae; Streptophyta; Magnoliopsida; Malpighiales; Euphorbiaceae. The record is from RNAcentral.
AAGCGAAGAAACACACAAGCACUAGGCCACUGCCCAUAAAACCAUCUGAAAAAUGAAAUAAGAGCAGGGGAAAUGUUACUGGAAAUGUGCCAUCAGUCAGGUGCAUUUUAGACCCACUUUUUAAUCACUACAAUUCAAUCAAAAUCCAAAAUCUUAUACAGCAAGAGCAACAACAUUUCCUCCAACCUCAGCGGGGGAGAAAGCCAAGAACAUGAGAGCAGCCAUAAUCCCAACUGGAAAGAACAGAAGCAGCAAAGGUGGAGGAGGCAACGGGGGCAAAAGCAAUGGCAACACCAACAUUGACGCCGCAAGAACCACCAGCAAUACAACACUCACCAAGCCGAAACA